GUCCUAGCCCUAACGAUGAGCACUGGGUGUGGCCCUCACGGGCCGUGCCGGAGCUAACGCAUUAAGUGCUCCGCCUGGGAGUACGGUCGCAAGGCUGAACUCAAGGAAUUGACGGGCCCGCACAAGCGGUGGAGCAUGUGGUUCAAUUCGACGCAACGCGAAGAACCUUACCUGGGCUCGAAAUGUAGUCGCCGGUCUCAGAGAUGAGGCUUUCCCGCAAGGGACGGCUGCAUAGGUGCUGCAUGGCUGUCGU
Molecule: ribosomal RNA, 253 nt
Filed under: uncultured bacterium
Lineage: Bacteria
Description: partial 16S ribosomal RNA
Rfam family: Bacterial small subunit ribosomal RNA
Source: RNAcentral